Molecule: long non-coding RNA, 302 nt
Filed under: Androctonus crassicauda
Lineage: Eukaryota; Metazoa; Arthropoda; Arachnida; Scorpiones; Buthidae
Source: RNAcentral
CAAAUGCUAACUGAUUAGUUUCAAUGUUGGAAAUAGUAUAUUUAAACAGAACAAUAACCAAUCAACCGAAACAAUUCCCACUUGUCAUUAUACCGACUGUGACUCUCCCUUUCACAUUUGGACUCAUCUACCUUAGCCAGACGCAGCUUUUGUGGACGGACAAUACCAUAAGUAUCAAAAAAACUUUUUUUAGCGGGGGAAAAAUGCAGAAUUUCAAACCACAAGAUCUUCAAUUUUUUUUCCCUCGGCUCUUUUUGAUGCAUUGUAAAAUUUUAUAAGUUUAUAAGGAAGGACCUAGCAAU